GAGCUUCAGGAACCAGCAGCUGACCAAACGAGUGGAGCUGCUGCAGGAGGAGCUGCUGCUGUCUGAGAGCAAGAGCAAGAAGAGCAAAAAUAAAGCCGACUCGCCGUCUCAGGUCAGCCUGCAGACACAGAGCGUGUUUGAUGAAGACCUGCAGAAGAAGAUCCAGGAGAAUGAGCGGCUUCACAUCCAGUUUUAUGAAGCGGAUGAGCAGUACCGUCGACAGGAGGCUCAGCUGAGAGCACGGCUAGAUCAGCUGGAGAAAGAGUCUGAGCAGCAUCAGGCCGUCAUCGACGCCCUCAACCACAAAUACACCGACGCCAUCGAGAAACUGCAGAACGACAAAACCUUUCUGGAGGUCAGAGACACAUUCAGAUGCUGGAAACCCAUUGUGUUUGUUAGGGAUAGUGUUAGUUAGUGCUCGAGCGUCAUGACAACACUAAAUCACUCUGCUUUUCACAAUGAUGGAUGUCAGUGGCAAAACAUGUACAGGGGGUUGUUUUGGGUCGUGGAUCAUUCAGUGCAUGAUCUAAUGUGAGC
Molecule: long non-coding RNA, 537 nt
Organism: Sinocyclocheilus rhinocerous
Lineage: Eukaryota; Metazoa; Chordata; Actinopteri; Cypriniformes; Cyprinidae
Exons: 3
Source: RefSeq, a predicted model, not a curated record